AUCUGCCCUGCACUUCGGGAUAAGCCUGGGAAACUGGGUCUAAUACCGGAUAGGACCUUUAGGCGCAUGUCUUUAGGUGGAAAGCUUUUGCGGUGUGGGAUGGGCCCGCGGCCUAUCAGCUUGUUGGUGGGGUGAUGGCCUACCAAGGCGACGACGGGUAGCCGGCCUGAGAGGGUGUCCGGCCACACUGGGACUGAGAUACGGCCCAGACUCCUACGGGAGGCAGCAGUGGGGAAUAUUGCACAAUGGGCGCAAGCCUGAUGCAGCGACGCCGCGUGGGGGAUGACGGCCUUCGGGUUGUAAACCUCUUUCACCAUCGACGAAGGUCCGGGUUUUCUCGGAUUGACGGUAGGUGGAGAAGAAGCACCGGCCAACUACGUGCCAGCAGCCGCGGUAAUACGUAGGGUGCGAGCGUUGUCCGGAAUUACUGGGCGUAAAGAGCUCGUAGGUGGUUUGUCGCGUUGUUCGUGAAAUCUCACGGCUUAACUGUGAGCGUGCGGGCGAUACGGGCAGACUAGAGUACUGCAGGGGAGACUGGAAUUCCUGGUGUAGCGGUGGAAUGCGCAGAUAUCAGGAGGAACACCGGUGGCGAAGGCGGGUCUCUGGGCAGUAACUGACGCUGAGGAGCGAAAGCGUGGGGAGCGAACAGGAUUAGAUACCCUGGUAGUCCACGCCGUAAACGGUGGGUACUAGGUGUGGGUUUCCUUCCUUGGGAUCCGUGCCGUAGCUAACGCAUUAAGUACCCCGCCUGGGGAGUACGGCCGCAAGGCUAAAACUCAAAGGAAUUGACGGGGGCCCGCACAAGCGGCGGAGCAUGUGGAUUAAUUCGAUGCAACGCGAAGAACCUUACCUGGGUUUGACAUGCACAGGACGCGUCUAGAGAUAGGCGUUCCCUUGUGGCCUGUGUGCAGGUGGUGCAUGGCUGUCGUCAGCUCGUGUCGUGAGAUGUUGGGUUAAGUCCCGCAACGAGCGCAACCCUUGUCUCAUGUUGCCAGCGGGUAAUGCCGGGGACUCGUGAGAGACUGCCGGGGUCAACUCGGAGGAAGGUGGGGAUGACGUCAAGUCAUCAUGCCCCUUAUGUCCAGGGCUUCACACAUGCUACAAUGGCCGGUACAAAGGGCUGCGAUGCCGCAAGGUUAAGCGAAUCCUUUUAAAGCCGGUCUCAGUUCGGAUUGGGGUCUGCAACUCGACCCCAUGAAGUCGGAGUCGCUAGUAAUCGCAGAUCAGCAACGCUGCGGUGAAUACGUUCCCGGGCCUUGUACACACCGCCCGUCACGUCAUGAAAGUCGGUAACACCCGAAGCCA
This 1305-nucleotide ribosomal RNA is filed under the name Mycobacterium intracellulare. Its description in RNAcentral is "bacterial SSU rRNA". It matches the Rfam family "Bacterial small subunit ribosomal RNA", at positions 124 to 1429 of the family's 1533-position model. RNAcentral also lists the same sequence under 1 other name. The record is from RNAcentral. Lineage: Bacteria; Bacillati; Actinomycetota; Actinomycetes; Mycobacteriales; Mycobacteriaceae.